CCUACGGGAGGCAGCAGUGGGGGAUAUUGCACAAUGGGGGGAACCCUGAUGCAGCGACGCCGCGUGGGUGAAGAAGCGCCUCGGCGCGUAAAGCCCUGUCAGCAGGGAAGAAAAUGACGAUACCUGAAGAAGAAGCCCCGGCUAACUACGUGCCAGCAGCCGCGGUAAUACGUAGGGGGCAAGCGUUAUCCGGAUUUACUGGGUGGAAAGGGGGCGCAGACGGCGAUGCAAGCCAGGAGUGAAAGCCCGGGGCCCAACCCCGGGACUGCUCUUGGAACUGCGUGGCUGGAGUGCAGGAGGGGCAGGCGGAAUUCCUGGUGUAGCGGUGAAAUGCGUAGAGAUCAGGAGGAACACCGGUGGCGAAGGCGGCCUGCUGGACUGCAACUGACGUUGAGGCCCGAAAGCGUGGGGAGCAAACAGGAUUAGAUACCCUAGUAGUC
This 440-nucleotide ribosomal RNA is filed under the name uncultured bacterium. RNAcentral describes it as "partial 16S ribosomal RNA". It matches the Rfam family "Bacterial small subunit ribosomal RNA", at positions 338 to 795 of the family's 1533-position model. The record is from RNAcentral.